CCUCAACAGUUGAACUAAAAUGAACUCCAGUUAUCUAGGAGUUGCUCAGCCAGUCUUAGAAUAGCCUAGGACACUUUGGGUUUCUGUGUAUCAGCAAUAAAAUGAAUGCAAAGGAUACACCGACGAGGGGCUAUCAAACCCUACAACGAAGCAGAAUUGUCUUCCUUUCAAGAAGAAUUAAGAGUUCAGUGAUGGAGCCAGAAGAGACAAGUAUCUAAAGACACUGGACCAGCCCAUUCCUCUAGAGAACAUUUAGGGAAGUUGGAAUUUUAAGAAUAACUUGCCAAGAGGAAGAUAUACUCAUCAACAGUUGGGGAAAACCCACAGGCAAUUUGAAUGAGAUUCUCAGAAUGAAACAGGGUUGGGACAACCCAUUUCUCGAGUCAAGGAGCAGAUAGAGGGCCUGAGAGCAUGCUAACAUACUCAUGAUCACUGUGGUCUCAGCGAAGUACCACAGAUAAACUCUCCAUGGAGAUUGUUAAUAAUAUCACAAAAUAAGUUUGGAUAAUGGCACGAUUUAUAGUCAUCUGAGAGUUUGGGCUUUUGAAGAAUUUGAAGUCUGUGAAUCAUCAGAAGAUCAUUAUAAAAGGCUUGUGCAGUUCAAAUUUGGGGUUUUUGUCUGAGCUUGAGAAGGUCUGGAUAUUGACAUUUUAUAAUUUACAACUCCUACAAUGAAAUGUCCGUUUAAACUAAAAAAAUGCUCUCUAAAAGCUUUUAUUUAUUUUUUACAAUUUGCCACCCAGGUUGGACUGAUAUUUUGAGACUGUGGUGUCCCAGUGGCCCCCUUUAGUAAAACUUCCCAAGAGCUCUAUUACUCCUUUUAGGGGGUCCCUGAAGCUUGAACUUCUGCCUCAUCAAAUAUCUAAUCACUUCUGAGCUACAAGUAAAAACUGCUUUUAGGAAAUCCCCUCCCCGCCCUUUUGGGCCCUUCUAUUGUAUGUUCUAUGUUUUAUGGUUUGGGGUUUUGGGGUUUUUGAAAGUGACAACAGAACUUACUUCUGCAUUGUGUUCUUAAUGUUUAGAAUUUGAAGCUUUGAAAACUAAAUUCUGGAUAUGGUAAUCAUAAUUCAGGGUUGGCAAAUUGACUAAAGAGAUGAAUUCUCCUUCAAUCAUAUUUAUAGGGUUAAUGGUUAUGAGGCAGCAAGCUGUGGAAAGUAUUCUUAAUUUAAAUAUACUCUAUCCCUAUCAACAAAUAAAAUUGUAAAGGAAGUGUGUUGAUCCUAUUACAUGAAGAGAUUGAAUUUAAAUGUUAUAAUAGUGAUGGGUUUUUCAUGAAAUGGGAAUGGGAAAAUCUGGAAGAUAAAAAUCCAAGUCGUUUAAAGGUUUAAAUAAGUUAUGACAAGUUGAUGAAUAGCAAUUAAUUAAUUGAAAUAAAGUCUAUAUCAACAUGGUGUCAACUACAA
Long non-coding RNA from Monodelphis domestica (gray short-tailed opossum), 1403 nucleotides. RefSeq lists it as uncharacterized. Lineage: Eukaryota; Metazoa; Chordata; Mammalia; Didelphimorphia; Didelphidae. The record is from RefSeq and is a predicted model, not a curated record.